RNAcentral lists this ribosomal RNA (483 nucleotides) under uncultured bacterium. RNAcentral describes it as "partial 16S ribosomal RNA". It matches the Rfam family "Bacterial small subunit ribosomal RNA", at positions 30 to 507 of the family's 1533-position model. The record is from RNAcentral.
UUGAACGCUGGCGGCAGGCCUCACCCAUGCAAGUCGAGCGGAUGAAGGGAGCUUGCUCCUGGAUUCAGCGGCGGACGGGUGAGUAAUGCCUAGGAAUCUGCCUGGUAGUGGGGGAUAACGUCCGGAAACGGGCGCUAAUACCGCAUACGUCCUGAGGGAGAAAGUGGGGGAUCUUCGGACCUCACGCUAUCAGACGAGCCUAGGUCGGAUUAGCUAGUUGGUGGGGUAAAGGCCUACCAAGGCGACGAUCCGUAACUGGUCUGAGAGGAUGAUCAGUCACACUGGAACUGAGACACGGUCCAGACUCCUACGGGAGGCAGCAGUGGGGAAUAUUGGACAAUGGGCGAAAGCCUGAUCCAGCCAUGCCGCGUGUGUGAAGAAGGUCUUCGGAUUGUAAAGCACUUUAAGUUGGGAGGAAGGGCAGUAAGUUAAUACCUUGCUGUUUUGACGUUACCAACAGAAUAAGCACCGGCUAACUUCGUG